GUCUCGGAUAGCUUAAGUGGUAGAGCAUUUGGCGCGUAACCAAAAAAUCCAGGUUCGACUCCUGGUCUGGGCU
RNAcentral lists this transfer RNA (73 nucleotides) under Cotesia glomerata. RNAcentral describes it as "tRNA-Thr". It matches the Rfam family "tRNA". From Rfam's summary of the family: Transfer RNA (tRNA) molecules are approximately 80 nucleotides in length. Their secondary structure includes four short double-helical elements and three loops (D, anti-codon, and T loops). Further hydrogen bonds mediate the characteristic L-shaped molecular structure. tRNAs have two regions of fundamental functional importance: the anti-codon, which is responsible for specific mRNA codon recognition, and the 3' end, to which the tRNAs corresponding amino acid is attached (by aminoacyl-tRNA synthetases). tRNAs cope with the degeneracy of the genetic code in two manners: having more than one tRNA (with a specific anti-codon) for a particular amino acid; and 'wobble' base-pairing, i.e. permitting non-standard base-pairing at the 3rd anti-codon position. The record is from RNAcentral. Lineage: Eukaryota; Metazoa; Arthropoda; Insecta; Hymenoptera; Braconidae.